Erinaceus europaeus (western European hedgehog) is the source of this 296-nucleotide unclassified non-coding RNA. Its record names the gene 7SK. It matches the Rfam family "7SK RNA". Rfam says of the family: 7SK was discovered as an abundant small nuclear RNA in the mid-70s but a possible function has only recently been suggested. Two independent studies have found that 7SK RNA binds the CDK9/cyclin T complex (known as elongation factor P-TEFb). P-TEFb activates transcription by phosphorylating the C-terminal domain of RNA polymerase II. The record is from Ensembl. NCBI's taxonomy places the organism in Eukaryota, Metazoa, Chordata, Mammalia, Eulipotyphla, Erinaceidae.
GAAUGUGAGGGUGAUCUAGCUGUGACUUUGUCACCCCAUUGAUCAUCAGGGUUCACUUGGCUGAUCUAGCUGGCUAACCAGGUCCCCUCCUCCCUCACUGAUCCAUGUUUCUCCAGAAGCUGUGUGCUUAGUCAAAUAGGAUGGCAUUCCCUAAAUAGAAACAGACUGGUCUUUGGCCUAGAGGAUAUGAGUAACUGCAUUCCCUUGCUAGAAGCUACAAGAAGUUCUCAAGAAUUUUUUUGUUGAAAAAGAAUAAAGAACAAUGAACCCACCUUCUCUGACCCAUCUUGGACAGA